GGCUGUAGCUCAGUGGUAGAGUGCUUGCUUACCAUGUGAGGCCCUGGGUUCGAUCCUCAGCAAAUCU
Molecule: transfer RNA, 67 nt
Filed under: Marmota monax (woodchuck)
Lineage: Eukaryota; Metazoa; Chordata; Mammalia; Rodentia; Sciuridae
Description: tRNA.Gly
Source: RNAcentral